This 253-nucleotide ribosomal RNA is filed under the name uncultured bacterium. RNAcentral describes it as "partial 16S ribosomal RNA". It matches the Rfam family "Bacterial small subunit ribosomal RNA", at positions 524 to 776 of the family's 1533-position model. The record is from RNAcentral.
UACGGAGGGUGCAAGCGUUAUCCGGAUUCACUGGGUUUAAAGGGUGCGUAGGUGGGCUGGUAAGUCAGUGGUGAAAUCUCCAGGCUUAACUUGGAAACUGCCAUUGGUACUAUCAGUCUUGAAUACCGUGGAGGUCAGCGGAAUAUGUCAUGUAGCGGUGAAAUGCUUAGAUAUGACAUAGAACACCAAUUGCGAAGGCAGCUGGCUACACGAAUAUUGACACUGAUGCACGAAAGCGUGGGGAUCAAACAGG